GUGCAGAGGGAGGUCUUCAUAGGGUUGCUACUGGUACAUACGCAAAAUCCUCUCACGCUAAGUAAUAUAAGUAUUACUGACAAAGUGAUAAUCACCAAAAGACUUAAAAACAGAAGCCAUUACUAGGAGAUCAGAACUCAAGAGUUGCAAGAGAUAGAAAGUCUAACUUGGACUGACUGACUAAGCAAAAAAAGGAAUUUAUUAGCUUGCUUACAUAACCAAGAAGUGCAGGAAGCAGAUCUGGCUCUGGGCAUGGCUGGAUCCAAGGUUUCCAAUGAAGUCAUUAAGGCUUGGUCGCUCUCCAUGUCCCCGCUCUGUUACCCUCCUUGUAGCCAAAACCAAGUUGGAAGUUGAGACUCAUUUUGACCGAGCGCAGUGCAGCGCCAGAGCUGGAGGGGCCUCGGUGGGGUGGCUGGGGGUGCUCCCGAGGCUCCUCCCACCACAAACAAUUCGCUAAGAACUUCCUGCCAUGAACCUGUGACAAUGCCGAAGACCCUUCGUCUUUGGGUCCUGGGCUUAUUCCUAUCCCCCCGCUGGGAUCUCAGGAAGAGGGGGAAACGGGAACCCCAAAGGGCCCUGUGGCUUCCCCUGACCUGCUCUGGGGUUCUGCUCCGGACCGAGCACUCCUGGCUGGAAACAAACACCAGCGAGGCAGGGAGGGCACGUGCCCUGGAGGCACCCGGAGCUAUGGAGGCGGAGCGAACCCCAGGUGUCUGGUAAAGUGAGGCACUCAGCCAGCUGGGGGGAGGUGGCCAGGGGCCCUCCGAGGUGUUUGGAGGGCCCCCCUUAUUUAUUUCCUACGUUUGGAAGUUGCCCCAGACCUGGCGUCCAGUGGAGAUCCUAGGCUAGGGCAUGAGAAGCAACAACUGACUCACCCUGGUGGGGCCUCCAAGUGUGGGAUCCUGCUGGUCUGGCCCUGGUUCUUGAGACAGUCGUCCUGGGACAGCGACUACUGCAUCGGAACAAGUGUGCAGCCAGCGAGAUGAGAAGCAGCAGCGUCACAGCCCCUAAGAGGGCCCACAAUCCCCAGGCCUGGGGGAAGGAGGGAAUUCCUGUGGAUGUGAGAGAAUAGAGGGGUACCUGACUUUUCUCUCCAGUUCUGAGUCUCGUGAGGAGAAUGUGCUUCUGGGUGAACAUGCUAUAACGUGGAAUGGGAUUGGGAGGUCUCCUGAUUGCAUUAGUGUGCCAAGGAUGGGAAUGGCAUGAGAGGUCUGACCCUCCAGCUGCAAGCAAUAAGAGGGUAUCAUCUGUAGAGAAUUUUAAGACAAAACCUACUAAAAAUCGGUCUCCAUUUUAUCACCACCAUGUUCCAGCAAUUCUAACAAAUGUCAGUAAUAAAGCACUCCUCUCU
Molecule: long non-coding RNA, 1351 nt
Organism: Myotis davidii
Lineage: Eukaryota; Metazoa; Chordata; Mammalia; Chiroptera; Vespertilionidae
Exons: 5
Source: RefSeq, a predicted model, not a curated record